UGUCAACUAGUUGUUGGGGAUUCAUUUCCUUAGUAACGUAGCUAACGCGUGAAGUUGACCGCCUGGGGAGUACGGUCGCAAGAUUAAAACUCAAAGGAAUUGACGGGGACCCGCACAAGCGGUGGAUGAUGUGGAUUAAUUCGAUGCAACGCGAAAAACCUUACCUACCCUUGACAUGGUCGGAAUCCUGCUGAGAGGUGGGAGUGCUCGAAAGAGAACCGAUACACAGGUGCUGCAUGGCUGUCGUCAG
Molecule: ribosomal RNA, 250 nt
Filed under: uncultured bacterium
Lineage: Bacteria
Description: partial 16S ribosomal RNA
Rfam family: Bacterial small subunit ribosomal RNA
Source: RNAcentral